Molecule: non-coding RNA, 23 nt
Filed under: Arabidopsis thaliana (thale cress)
Lineage: Eukaryota; Viridiplantae; Streptophyta; Magnoliopsida; Brassicales; Brassicaceae
Source: RNAcentral
UCCGAGCUUGAGAGAUUACAUUA